RNAcentral lists this ribosomal RNA (501 nucleotides) under uncultured bacterium. RNAcentral's name for it is "partial 16S ribosomal RNA". It matches the Rfam family "Bacterial small subunit ribosomal RNA", at positions 30 to 523 of the family's 1533-position model. The record is from RNAcentral.
AUUGAACGCUGGCGGCAGGCUUAACACAUGCAAGUCGAGCGGGGGAAGGUAGCUUGCUACCGGACCUAGCGGCGGACGGGUGAGUAAUGCUUAGGAAUCUGCCUAUUAGUGGGGGACAACAUCUCGAAAGGGAUGCUAAUACCGCAUACGUCCUACGGGAGAAAGCAGGGGAUCUUCGGACCUUGCGCUAAUAGAUGAGCCUCAGUCGGAUUAGCUAGUUGGUGGGGUAAAGGCCUAGCAAGGCGACGAUCUGUAGCGGGUCUGAGAGGAUGAUCCGCCACACUGGGACUGAGACACGGCCCAGACUCCUACGGGAGGCAGCAGUGGGGAAUAUUGGACAAUGGGGGGAACCCUGAUCCAGCCAUGCCGCGUGUGUGAAGAAGGCCUUAUGGUUGUAAAGCACUUUAAGCGAGGAGGAGGCUACUUUAGUUAAUACCUAGAGAUAGUGGACGUUACUCGCAGAAUAAGCACCGGCUAACUCUGUGCCAGCCGCCGCAGUAA